This is a non-coding RNA of Triticum aestivum (bread wheat), 134 nucleotides long. The record is from Rfam. NCBI's taxonomy places the organism in Eukaryota, Viridiplantae, Streptophyta, Magnoliopsida, Poales, Poaceae.
CAAGUACUCCCUCCGUCCGAAAAUACUUAUCAUCAAAAUGGAUAAAAAAUAUGUAUCUAGAACUAAUAUACAUCUAGAUACAUCCCCUUUUAUUCAUUUUGAUGACAAGUAUUCCCGGAUGGAGGGAGUACUAC